Podarcis lilfordi (Lilford's wall lizard) is the source of this 188-nucleotide non-coding RNA. The record is from the annotation of a GenBank genome assembly. Lineage: Eukaryota; Metazoa; Chordata; Lepidosauria; Squamata; Lacertidae.
UCCCAUCAGAGCAGCCCCAAUCGCAUUCCUACUUCUGUGCAAGCAGGAGGGGAUGGGGGUCCCUCAGCUGGGAAGGGAGGCUUCCCAGUUGCUCUGAUAGGCAGCGUGAAGCCUCCCUUCACAGCUAAGAGAUCCCCGCCCCGCUCCUGCUUGCACGCAAGUAGGAAUGGGGAGGCUGCUCCGAUAGG